This 849-nucleotide long non-coding RNA is filed under the name Anas platyrhynchos platyrhynchos (common mallard). RNAcentral's name for it is "lncRNA (ENSAPLG00000022862.1)". Lineage: Eukaryota; Metazoa; Chordata; Aves; Anseriformes; Anatidae. The record is from RNAcentral.
GCCCAUUCUCCCUCUCCCCCACACUUUCCUUUCUAGCUUUUGCUUCUGUGAACAUUAUCUGCUGUCUAUGAAUGUAUUCCUUCUUUCCUUUUUCAUAUUUCAUACUGCUGUGUGUCCUGUUCAACAAAGUCCUUAAGCGUGUGAGGCUGUUUGACAGAGCAGUCUCAAAAGCUUUAUCCCAGCUAGAGGACCUACAUACCUGUGCACAGCCCAGCUGCCUACUGCAGGAAGAGAUCCAGAUGCAUACCAGCCUUUUCCCCCAGGGUGAAGGAAAGAUUUUCUCAUCUGCCCUGAAAAGGUUGGUCAGCACCCACAGGCUCUGGCCUGACAUAGCCUGUUCACCCAGCCCAGGUGCCUGAGAAGUGGAAUUAAGCAGGAGCUGACUGGUGAAUGCAGUGAGUGACUGAUGUUUCUGUGAGAUGGGCCAAGAAACACCAGCAGGAUCCAGAAAUGUUGCCAGAGGAAAUCCAAGGGGAAGAUUAAGUAUAUUGUGGACAAGGAACAACCUGGCAAUAUAAUGAUGGUAAGAAGUUGGGGGUUGCUAGUCUGGGACUGUUUCAUGGAAAUUCAUGGAACUGUUAUUGUUGAAUCAGUUGUUGAAAUUGCUUAUUUUUGAAUCAUUGAAUUGUUAUUUAGUAUUUACUGUUACUUGCUGAAGAGUUCCUCUUUGAACCGUUGUUAAUGUUAGCACUCACACCUGAUCAUUUGAAAAGAAGCUCAGAUGUGAAUGGCUCUGUAGAUGUACUUCUAGAACAUAAAAUAUCAGCUGUGAGAAACUGUGACAUUUAGACCUAUAUAGAAGUAGCCAUCUUACUUACAGGAGCAAUAAAACCACCUUACUCAAAGACA